RNAcentral lists this ribosomal RNA (565 nucleotides) under uncultured bacterium. RNAcentral describes it as "partial 16S ribosomal RNA". It matches the Rfam family "Bacterial small subunit ribosomal RNA", at positions 355 to 935 of the family's 1533-position model. The record is from RNAcentral.
UGGGGAAUAUUGCACAAUGGGCGAAAGCCUGAUGCAGCGACGCCGCGUGAGGGAUGACGGCCUUCGGGUUGUAAACCUCUUUCAGCAGGGAAGAAGCGAAAGUGACGGUACCUGCAGAAGAAGCGCCGGCUAACUACGUGCCAGCAGCCGCGGUAAUACGUAGGGCGCAAGCGUUGUCCGGAAUUAUUGGGCGUAAAGAGCUCGUAGGCGGUUAGUCGCGUCUGCUGUGAAAACUCGAGGCUCAACCUCGGGCUUGCAGUGGGUACGGGCUGACUAGAGUGCGGUAGGGGUNACUGGAAUUCCUGGUGUAGCGGUGGAAUGCGCAGAUAUCAGGAGGAACACCGAUGGCGAAGGCAGGUCACUGGGCCGCAACUGACGCUGAGGAGCGAAAGCAUGGGGAGCGAACAGGAUUAGAUACCCUGGUAGUCCAUGCCGUAAACGUUGGGCACUAGGUGUGGGGUCCAUUCCACGGAUUCCGUGCCGCAGCAAACGCAUUAAGUGCCCCGCCUGGGGAGUACGGCCGCAAGGCUAAAACUCAAAUGAAUUGACGGGGUCAUAGCUGUUU